This 85-nucleotide transfer RNA is filed under the name Bacteriophage sp. RNAcentral's name for it is "tRNA-Ser". It matches the Rfam family "tRNA". Rfam says of the family: Transfer RNA (tRNA) molecules are approximately 80 nucleotides in length. Their secondary structure includes four short double-helical elements and three loops (D, anti-codon, and T loops). Further hydrogen bonds mediate the characteristic L-shaped molecular structure. tRNAs have two regions of fundamental functional importance: the anti-codon, which is responsible for specific mRNA codon recognition, and the 3' end, to which the tRNAs corresponding amino acid is attached (by aminoacyl-tRNA synthetases). tRNAs cope with the degeneracy of the genetic code in two manners: having more than one tRNA (with a specific anti-codon) for a particular amino acid; and 'wobble' base-pairing, i.e. permitting non-standard base-pairing at the 3rd anti-codon position. The record is from RNAcentral.
GCAGUAUUCCCAUAAUGGUAUUGGAACGGUUUGCUAAACCGUCGGGCGUUAAUUCGCCUUGCAGGUUCGACUCCUGCAUACUGCG